AUUCAAUCUCAGAAAUCGCCAUAUGACUCGCCCUUGGAUCCAUCGACUGUCCUCCUAUUUUUGUGCGUCUUUCUAUUUUCUCUCUCUUACCCUCAUCCAAAACCCCCUCUCUCCCUCAAUUCCCGAUCUCUAGUUCUAUGGAUUCUCUCUGAUGAUCUCUUAUCGAUCUUCUUUUUCGCUUUUCUAAAUUGUCUUUCAUGCGUUUGAUGAUCCAAGCAAGAGGUCGACGAAGAGCUGGUUUUGAGUGAGCGCAGAGUUUUAAGGAGGGAAAGAAAGGUGGCUCUUUCGAAGAGCAGAGGGAGAUAAUGCCUUCGAUACCCAUACAGCUACAGCUCCGUUUGCUUCCAUCUUUGGCUCUCUUUCAUGGUGGAUUGUGUUAUCAUCGUUUGAAACAGCUUGAAAAGCGUGACCGGCGUGGUAAUCUUAGUUAACAUUAGGAACUUUUUCUUCCUAUUUCUCUUCUAUAUUCGUUUCUAGUUCUUUCUCUCUUUUCGUUCCUUUUGGGUUCUUGCUUUCUGGGUUUCUACAAUUAGUUGUUAUUUUCGUGAAAAUCGGGUUCGAGAAAUCGGAGAUAGAGAGAUCAUUUGAAGAAUUUGGUUGGACUUGAUAAGAGCUAUUCAGAGACAGCAUAAGAGGUACUGUUUUGAUGGGUUUAUCUGUGUAUCUUGUUUAUAUGCUAUGAAACUUCACUUUAAUUGUGUGCGUUUGAUGGGUUUAAUUUGAUGAAUAUAUGGGAUUGCGUGUAAUGUGGACAAUUUUCCGUUUGAUCGUUAUUUUUUCAGCUCAGUAAUAUAAUAUCUUUUGAUCUGUUAUCUAUUGAGGAUAUUGAUUGAGACUAUCAGCAGUUCAAUCACGCAUUUGAGAGCAAUGUAUGGUUUUAUUUUGAAGGCUUUCAAUUGUUUAUAUACUUGACGUGUAUCCGUUUCCAUGCUAAUAAGAAUUUAUUUGUGGCGUGUGUUUGAGGUUUUCAUAGAGUGCUUUCUUGUUUUUGCAGUUACCUAUUUCUUGUUUGGUGGUGUUAUUGAUGGAAGUUAUCUGUAAUCGAUGUGUGGAUGGUGGUGGUGUUCUGGUAGACGAAAUCCAAAGCAAUUUAAGCAAGUUUGGGCAUUUAGGGGAUGUUCAAGAAACAGAUGCAUCUGAUGGAGACUGUACCAGUGGUGCAGAGGGAUUCCAAGAGCUUGGGCCAUUUGGGCAUGAACCCGUUAAAAAUUCUCUAGAAAAGGCUGUAGCAUUGCCAUCUGAAGAUGAUGAACCUGAAACAGCAUUGCGGCUGCUGUUCUCUGGGGAGCCCAUAAGGCCUGCAUUGCCACUUGUGUCUGCCAUGAAAGGUAGUCGAGAAAAACUGGGAACAUCCCCAAGAAAGCUGUCUGUGACUUGGGCCCCUGAUGUGUAUGAUCCUAUUCCUAAUUCAGUAUCACACUCUGUUACAAGCAAGCAGAGGAAGUCUAGGAAAGAUAAAGGCAAAAAUAGCAACAAUAACCACAAGAAAAAUGGAAAGAAGGGCCAGAAAGGCAACUCAAAAGGAGGAGGUGGUAAAGACAAGAAGCAAUUGCGCAAAACUGGUGGUAGGUCUGAUAAGUGUUAUAAAACACUGAACACUUGUGAUGCCCCAGACCUUGAUGAAUUUGAUGUUGGAAGCCCAGACUACUGUGGAAGUAGCUUCCUCAAAAAAUCCCCCACAACGUUUCACUACCCUGUUGCAGAGGCGUUGUGAAAUCACAUCUUCAUUCCACAUCAUGGUGUUAUGUGAAUAAAUAAAUGUAGCUAUGAAGCUUAUGACUGGAAGAUGUGGUACCUAUCUUGCCCGUGUUUUUGUUGAUACUAUAUCAACUUAUAUUAUAUUUUUGGUGCUUGUUUAAUUUUUCUUUUUUGGGCAACGGCACUAAUAGCUUGUUUGGAUCGGAUGGAAGUAAAAUAUCAGAGGAAUCAAAGCAAGGAAAAAUACUCAGAGAGAAGGGAGGAAAGUCUUAUAUUCUAUUCGGGCCAUUCUCUCCCAUUUAAGGUAACCAAAAAAAUAAAAUUACAUUUUUAACCUUGGUUCUCUUUCUUGGAAUUUCGGGGGCGGUUCUUUUUUUCUCUAGAUGCAAAUAAAAUGUAUUCUUGAAAAAUCAAUCAAUAUACCAGGUAGCAUGCUUUGGGUGGCUAAAAAGUUUAUUUUGAUGUUUAUUAUAUGGGUAUCAAUUUGGAAUAUUUACCAAAUUUUAAUUUUAUUUAGAUUUAAUGGUACUAUGGUUGUAGGUUGUCUCUGAGGCAAUUGAUUUUAGAUAAGGA
RNAcentral lists this unclassified non-coding RNA (2271 nucleotides) under Hevea brasiliensis (rubber tree). The record is from RNAcentral. Lineage: Eukaryota; Viridiplantae; Streptophyta; Magnoliopsida; Malpighiales; Euphorbiaceae.